Molecule: long non-coding RNA, 1319 nt
Filed under: Cyanistes caeruleus (blue tit)
Lineage: Eukaryota; Metazoa; Chordata; Aves; Passeriformes; Paridae
Description: lncRNA (ENSCCEG00000018687.1)
Source: RNAcentral
GACAAUGGUGACACGAUGGUGGUGACACAGCGGUGGUGGCACAGUGGUGACAGCGGUGGCACAGCAGUGGUGACAGUGGUGACAAUGAUGGUGACAGCAGCGACACAUUGAUGGUGACAAUGGGGUGACAAUGGCUGUUCCUCAGGCGGUGUCGGGGGUGGCCGUGACGCGGUGGUGGUGGCACGGUGACAUCGAUGGUGACAGCAAUGGUGACACAGCGGUGGUGGCACAGCAAUGGUGACAACAAUGGCCUGCUGAUGGUGACAGCGGUGACACAGCAAUGGUGGCAUGAUGACAGUGAUGGUGACACAGCGGUGGUGGUGGCACAGUGACAGCGAUGGUGACACAGCGGUGGUGGCACAGCCACAGUGGAGGUGACAGUGGCACUGUGGUGACAACAGCCGCGCAGCAAGGUGACAGUGACACUGCCGGGCUGGGGACAGCAGGGACAACGGUGGCAUGGAGCGAGUGACAUCACAGUCCAUGUCACAGCCUGGAGCUGGUGUGUGACAGUGACACAUGACACAGUGACAGUGACACAGUGACAGUGACACACUGACAAUGUCCCCGUGUCCCCAGGUGACAGAGUACCGUGUCCCUGUCCCCCGUCCCCUGGGCCGCCUGUUGCUGCUGCAGGUGCACAAGGGGCCCUGUGGGGGUCUCCCCGAGAGCUCCUGGUACCUGGAGAGCGUCACCGUGUGGGGACAGCGCGGGGACACCCCCGGGAACACCCCCGGGGACAGUGACGGUGACAGCGACGGUGACAGCGACGGUGACAGUGAUGGUGACAGCGAUGGGGACAGCUGGGACGAGGAGGAGGAGGAGGAGGAGGAUGAAGGUGACAGCGAGGAGGAGGUGGCAGAGGAGGAGGAGGAGGAGGGGACAGGUGACAGCGAGGAGGUGACAGAGGAGGAGGAGCUGGAGGAGGAGCCUGAGGACAGCGCGAGUGACAUCGGCACUGCCAGCACAGGUGACACCGAUGACGUCGCUGACCUGGGGCCCUUCCACUUCCCGUGCUACCGCUGGCUCGAGGGGUACAACACCUGGGAGCUGCCCGAGGGUACAGGUGAGCACACCUGGGACACCUGGGGACACCGGGGGACAGCUGGGGGGACACCGGGUGACAGCUGGGGACACACCUGUGACACACCUGUUCACACCUGUCGAUGUCACCGCAGCCACCACGCCGGCCAUGGAGCGACACCCGCGGCUGCAGCGGCAGCGCCGCCGACACCUGGUGCAACAGCGCCGGCGCUACAGGUGAGGGGAGGGGACAGCUGGGGCUGGCACCUGGGGAGGGGGGGUGACAUCGCCGGGUG